UAUGUGGUGUUUUCAGCAAAUGGGUCUC
This 28-nucleotide non-coding RNA is filed under the name Homo sapiens (human). The record is from RNAcentral. Lineage: Eukaryota; Metazoa; Chordata; Mammalia; Primates; Hominidae.